This is an RNA transcript of Carlito syrichta (Philippine tarsier), 656 nucleotides long. It is a transcript of the gene named 40S ribosomal protein S5 pseudogene, with no coding region annotated. The record is from RefSeq and is a predicted model, not a curated record. The transcript has a single exon. Lineage: Eukaryota; Metazoa; Chordata; Mammalia; Primates; Tarsiidae.
GUGUGGUCCAUGCCUGACAAAAGAGGUGCUCCGGCUUGUCCUCAGGAUGACCGAGUGGGAGACAGCUGCACCAGCAGUGGCAGAGACCCCUGACAUCAAGCUCUUUGGGAAGUGGAGCACUGGUGAUGUGCAGAUCAGUGACAUUUUCCUACAGGAUUACUUCUCAGUGAAGGCGAAGUAUGCCAAGUACUUCACAGUGCAGGGCGGUAUGCUGCCAAGCGAUUCCGCAAAGCCCAGUGCCCCAUUGUGGAGCCCCUCACUAACUCCAUGAUGAUGCAGAGCGGCAACAACGGCAAGAAGCUCAUGACUGGGUGCAUCGCCAAGCAUGCUUUUAGACCAUCCACCUGCUCACAGGCAAGAACCCUCUGCAGGUCCUAGUGAACACCAUCAUCGACGGUGGCUCCCGGAUGACUCUCAUGUAUCAGGUGAGCUGGGACAGUGACGGAAGACUGUGGACGUAGCCCCACUGCCCUGUGUGAAACAGGUCAUCUGGUUGCUGUGCACAGAUGCCCAUGAGGGUGCCUUCCAGAACGUCGAGAUCAUUGCUGAGUGCCUGGCAGAUGAGCUUGUGAGUGCCGCCAAGGGCUUCUCCAACUCCUAUGCCACUGAGAAGAAGGGUGAGCCGGAUGGAGCGUGCGGCCAAGUCCAAUCACUGA